GCGGGGAUAGCUCAGUUGGGAGAGCGUUAGACUGAAGUUCACUUCAUCAGAUUGACCCGUUUGGGUUAUCUAAAGGUCGCCGGUUCAAUCCCGGCUCACCGCA
RNAcentral lists this transfer RNA (103 nucleotides) under Aspergillus tamarii. It matches the Rfam family "tRNA". Rfam says of the family: Transfer RNA (tRNA) molecules are approximately 80 nucleotides in length. Their secondary structure includes four short double-helical elements and three loops (D, anti-codon, and T loops). The record is from Rfam by way of RNAcentral. Lineage: Eukaryota; Fungi; Ascomycota; Eurotiomycetes; Eurotiales; Aspergillaceae.